GAUGAACGCUGGCGGCGUGCUUAACACAUGCAAGUCGAACGGAAAGGCUCCUGCUUGCAGGGGUACUCGAGUGGCGAACGGGUGAGUAACACGUGGGUGAUCUGCCCUGCACUUCGGGAUAAGCCUGGGAAACUGGGUCUAAUACCGGAUAGGACGAUGGUUUGGAUGCCAUUGUGGAAAGUUUUUCGGUGUGGGAUGAGCUCGCGGCCUAUCAGCUUGUUGGUGGGGUAAUGGCCUACCAAGGCGUCGACGGGUAGCCGGCCUGAGAGGGUGUACGGCCACAUUGGGACUGAGAUACGGCCCAGACUCCUACGGGAGGCAGCAGUGGGGAAUAUUGCACAAUGGGCGCAAGCCUGAUGCAGCGACGCCGCGUGGGGGAUGACGGCCUUCGGGUUGUACUCCUUUCGCUAGGGACGAAGCGCAAGUGACGGUACCUGGAGAAGAAGCACCGGCUAACUACGUG
Molecule: ribosomal RNA, 463 nt
Filed under: uncultured bacterium
Lineage: Bacteria
Description: partial 16S ribosomal RNA
Rfam family: Bacterial small subunit ribosomal RNA
Source: RNAcentral